RNAcentral lists this long non-coding RNA (1111 nucleotides) under Homo sapiens (human). Its description in RNAcentral is "HSALNT0131787". The record is from RNAcentral. Lineage: Eukaryota; Metazoa; Chordata; Mammalia; Primates; Hominidae.
UCAUAAUGCAAACUGUAACCCUAACCCUCACCUUCAUCCUCACCUUCACCCUAACCCUAACCAUCACCCUGAACUUCAACCUCACCUCAAUCCAAAUUCUAAUCUUAACUCUAAUCCUCACCCUCGCCCUAACCCUAACUCUAACCCCUAACCCCCAACCCUAACCGUAUCUCUAACCCUCACUUUAUUUACAGCAAUCUGUGCUCUAACACAAAAUGACAUCAAAAAAAUUGUAGUGUUGACUACCCUCACCCUAAACCCUGGAACCUACUUGUGGCCAUUGGCCAACUGAACCUUGGGCUCUGAGCCCUGGGGCAGGCAAGGGAAUCUGGAUGACUCCAGCCUGCUGGAGAGAGGCAGCCAAGAGAAGCAUGUUGUUAGGAACAUAAUCAAAUUAAAUUAAUGGGCUGACUGGCCCCAGCAGCUCCAUCUAACAACACAGAAAAAACAACAAUAAGAAAUGGAUCAUUUCUCCUGGUUUGAAUGCUGGAAAACUUGCAGUCACUGAAGAGAUUUCAAAUGAAAUUCCCUACACUAUUCUGGGAAAUAACUGUUCUCUGCACUCAGCCUGGUGGCUACAAGGAAAAAGAUAGUUGAGUGUGUUCCUGGUCAUCAGAAGAGUGGAGUCUUUUCCAUGCCGUUCAUCAGUCCAGGAACCCAGACUGACAUGGAUUCCUCUAUCUUCAGCUCCCGGUUUCCAGCGUCACCCAGGAAACCACAUGCAGCCUUUAGGAUGGAAUGUGGAGCCCCCUGCAUGGAGGUUUUCAUGGCGCAGGCCUGGGAGAAGCACAGACCACUCUGCAGUAGUCCAUUCCCAAGAACCGGUGCACAUGUUGGAGGCGAGGUGAAAGGCAGCUGAGAAAUGUGCAGGGCUCAGUGUCCCGGGGGCAGCCACCUCCGCAGGACAGGUGUGGGAGGGGGAGUGCGUCAUUGCCUCCAACUGGGUUCUCUUCUCCACCACAUGGCACAGAGUGGGCACUCAGCACAUUGCUUAAUGAAUGAAACCCACUUCAUUUCAGUGUCGUGACCCUGAGAGAGUUUCUUAAAUAUUUUCACAUGCUGAAGCAACUGCAAUUCUGGGGUCAUUUGUGGAAUACUAUAUUUAUUGAUG